GACGAACGCUGGCGGCGUGCUUAACACAUGCAAGUCGAACGGAAAGGCCCCUUUGGGGGUACUCGAGUGGCGAACGGGUGAGUAACACGUGAGUAACCUGCCCUUGACUUCGGGAUAACUUCAGGAAACUGGGGCUAAUACCGGAUAGGAAUCCUUGCUGCAUGGUGGGGGUUGGAAAGCUUCGGCGGUUUUGGAUGGACUCGCGGCUUAUCAGCUUGUUGGUGGGGUAGUGGCUUACCAAGGCUUUGACGGGUAGCCGGCCUGAGAGGGCGACCGGCCACAUUGGGACUGAGAUACGGCCCAGACUCCUGCGGGAGGCAGCAGUGGGGAAUAUUGCACAAUGGGCGGAAGCCUGAUGCAGCAACGCCGCGUGCGGGAUGACGGCCUUCGGGUUGUAAACCGCUUUCAGCAGGGGCGAAGCUUUUGUGACGGUACCUGCAGAAGAAGCACCGGCUAACUACGUG
Molecule: ribosomal RNA, 464 nt
Filed under: uncultured bacterium
Lineage: Bacteria
Description: partial 16S ribosomal RNA
Rfam family: Bacterial small subunit ribosomal RNA
Source: RNAcentral